RNAcentral lists this ribosomal RNA (404 nucleotides) under Fusobacteriota bacterium. Its description in RNAcentral is "Fusobacteria bacterium partial 16S ribosomal RNA". It matches the Rfam family "Bacterial small subunit ribosomal RNA", at positions 355 to 776 of the family's 1533-position model. The record is from RNAcentral. Lineage: Bacteria; Fusobacteriati; Fusobacteriota.
UGGGGAAUAUUGCACAAUGGGCGAAAGCCUGAUGCAGCGACGCCGCGUGAGUGAAGAAGUAUUUCGGUAUGUUAAGCUCUAUCAGCAGGGAAGAAAACGACGGUACCUGACUAAGAAGCCCCGGCUAACUACGUGCUAGCAGCCGCGGUAAUACGUAAGGGGCAAGCGUUAUCCGGAUUUACUGGGUGUAAAGGGAGCGUAGACUGCGAAGCAAGUCUGAAGUGAAAACCCAGGACUCAACCCUGGGACUGAUUUGGAAACUGUUUUGCAAGAAUGUCAGAAUGGUAAGUGGAAUUCCUAGUGUAGCGGUGUAUUGCGUAGAUAUUAGGAGAACCACCAGUGGCGAAGGCGGCUUACUGAACGAUAACUGACGUUGAGGCUCGAAAGCGUGGGGAGGAAACAGG